RNAcentral lists this small RNA (124 nucleotides) under Marmota monax (woodchuck). The record is from RNAcentral. Lineage: Eukaryota; Metazoa; Chordata; Mammalia; Rodentia; Sciuridae.
GAUGGGUGCAGUGGUGUACACCUGUAAUCCCAGCAGCUCAGGGACUGAGACAGGAGGAUCAUGAGUUCAAAGCCAGCCUCAGCAAAAGUGAGGUGCUAAGCAACUUAAUGAGACCCUGUCUCUA